CGGGGGGGGGCUACCCAUGCAGUCGACGGUAACAGGAAGCAGCUUGCUGCUUCGCUGACGAGUGGCGGACGGGUGAGUAAUGUCUGGGAAACUGCCUGAUGGAGGGGGAUAACUACUGGAAACGGUAGCUAAUACCGCAUAACGUCGCAAGACCAAAGAGGGGGACCUUCGGGCCUCUUGCCAUCAGAUGUGCCCAGAUGGGAUUAGCUAGUAGGUGGGGUAACGGCUCACCUAGGCGACGAUCCCUAGCUGGUCUGAGAGGAUGACCAGCCACACUGGAACUGAGACACGGUCCAGACUCCUACGGGAGGCAGCAGUGGGGAAUAUUGCACAAUGGGCGCAAGCCUGAUGCAGCCAUGCCGCGUGUAUGAAGAAGGCCUUCGGGUUGUAAAGUACUUUCAGCGGGGAGGAAGGCGAUGCGGUUAAUAACCGCGUCGAUUGACGUUACCCGCAGAAGAAGCACCGGCUAACUCCGUGCCAGCAGCCGCGGUAAUACGGAGGGUGCAAGCGUUAAUCGGAAUUACUGGGCGUAAAGCGCACGCAGGCGGUCUGUCAAGUCGGAUGUGAAAUCCCCGGGCUCAACCUGGGAACUGCAUCCGAAACUGGCAGGCUUGAGUCUCGUAGAGGGGGGUAGAAUUCCAGGUGUAGCGGUGAAAUGCGUAGAGAUCUGGAGGAAUACCGGUGGCGAAGGCGGCCCCCUGGACGAAGACUGACGCUCAGGUGCGAAAGCGUGGGGAGCAAACAGGAUUAGAUAUUUCUGUUUUUAGUCUCAGAAA
Molecule: ribosomal RNA, 776 nt
Filed under: Enterobacter cloacae
Lineage: Bacteria; Pseudomonadati; Pseudomonadota; Gammaproteobacteria; Enterobacterales; Enterobacteriaceae
Description: bacterial SSU rRNA
Rfam family: Bacterial small subunit ribosomal RNA
Source: RNAcentral